This 27-nucleotide small RNA is filed under the name Bombyx mori (domestic silkworm). Its description in RNAcentral is "ovarian small RNA-10934". Lineage: Eukaryota; Metazoa; Arthropoda; Insecta; Lepidoptera; Bombycidae. The record is from RNAcentral.
ACAACUCAACCCACACAGUAGAACAGA